RNAcentral lists this ribosomal RNA (207 nucleotides) under uncultured bacterium. Its description in RNAcentral is "partial 16S ribosomal RNA". It matches the Rfam family "Bacterial small subunit ribosomal RNA", at positions 568 to 774 of the family's 1533-position model. The record is from RNAcentral.
CGCGUAGGCGGGGGAGCAAGUCCGCUGUGAAAGCCCGAGGCUUAACCUCGGAGGGUCGGUGGAUACUGCUUCUCUUGAAGAGGCUAGGGGGAGAUGGAAUUACCGGUGUAGCGGUGAAAUGCGUAGAGAUCGGUAGGAACACCAGUGGCGAAGGCGGUCUCCUGGAGCCCUCUUGACGCUGAGGCGCGAAAGCUGGGGGAGCGAACG